AUGGGAUGCCAGGCGAGCCGCCGGAUCCUCCUCCUCCUCGCCACCAUAGUCGUCGCCACCUCACAGCCACCACCCACCGCGGCGCAGACGGCCAGCUGCGCCGACCACACGUUCUCCGGCGGCCGCCUCUACGCGGCAUGCAGCCCACUGGAGGAGCUGGACGCCAGCGUCCACUGGACGUACCACGCGUCCAACGGCACGGCGGACGUCGCGUUCCGCGUGCCGGGGGGCUCGGCCGGGUGGGCGGCGUGGGCCAUCAACCCGUCCGCGGUCGGCAUGCUCGGCGCCAACACGGUGUUCGCCUACCACGACCCGGCGACCGGCGUGGUGGCGGUCGCCACGGCGGUCGUCGACAGCUACACCCCGGCGUUCGCGGACGGGGACCUCGCGUUCGCCGUGCACAGGCGCGGCGCCGAGUACACCGACGGCGUGUACGCCAUCCACGCCACGGUCGCGCUGCCGGGGAACAGCACCAGGCAGAACAUCGUCUGGCAGGCCGGCACGUCGUCCCCGGACGGCCUGCCGGAGAGCCACCAGGUGUUCGGAGACAACGUCAUGUCGUCCCGGAGCUGGGACUUCAGGUCGGCCGAGGCGGCGGUCGUUGUCGACGACGUCCCUGCCGCGCCAAGGUACAGCGUCUACCGCGCACUGCUACGCCCCAAGAAUGUACGCACGUACGACAGUUUGGAUCACCAUAUUCUUGAUUUUUUCACUUGGGAAAACUUAGCUGGUUUGUGCGUGCAGAUCCAUGGCGUGCUGAAUGCCGUGAGCUGGGGCGUGCUGCUCCCUCUCGGCGUCAUGCUGGCGAGGUACAUGAGGGUGUUCCCAUCGCUUGAUCCGGCAUGGUUCUACCUCCACGUCGCCUGCCAGUGCAGCGGCUACGUGAUCGGGGCGGCCGGUUGGGUCUUCGGCCUCACGCUCGGCAGCCCGGCAAAAGGCGCCCUGCAGCACCAUGGCCACCGCAACAUCGGAACCGCGCUUUUCGUCCUAUCAUCACUUCAGGUUUCUGCCUUGCUGAUCCGCCCUAAGAAGACCGUCAAAGUUCGCUUCUAUUGGAACCUGUACCACUGGUCCGUCGGCUACACGGUGGUCGUUCUGGGCGUCGUCAAUGUCUUCAAGGGCAUCGGCAUCCUACAACCUGAUCAGAAGUACAAGCACGCCUACCUUGGCGCCGUUCUCGUGCUCGCUGUGGUGGCCUUCGUCUUGGAGCUUGUGACGCUGACGGUCAGGUUCAAGAAGGGCCGGCGGUAA
Molecule: ribosomal RNA, 1251 nt
Filed under: Triticum aestivum (bread wheat)
Lineage: Eukaryota; Viridiplantae; Streptophyta; Magnoliopsida; Poales; Poaceae
Description: partial small subunit ribosomal RNA
Source: RNAcentral